This 291-nucleotide ribosomal RNA is filed under the name uncultured bacterium. Its description in RNAcentral is "partial 16S ribosomal RNA". It matches the Rfam family "Bacterial small subunit ribosomal RNA", at positions 505 to 796 of the family's 1533-position model. The record is from RNAcentral.
GUGCCAGCAGCCGCGUAAUACGAAGGGGGCAAGCGUUGUUCGGAAUUACUGGGCGUAAAGGGCGCGCAGGCGGCCAUUCAAGUCAGGUGUGAAAGCCCCGGGCUCAACCUAGGAAUAGCACUUGGGACUGAGUGGCUAGAGAUCGGGAGAGGAGAGUGGAGUUCCCAGUGUAGAGGUGAAACUCGUAGAUAUUGGGAAGAACACCGGUGGCGAAGGCGGCUCUCUGGACCGAUACUGACGCUGAGGCGCGAAAGCGUGGGGAGCAAACAGGAUUAGAAACCCUCGUAGUCC